This 302-nucleotide long non-coding RNA is filed under the name Nicotiana benthamiana. RNAcentral describes it as "long non-coding RNA (NBEN_LNC002625)". The record is from RNAcentral. Lineage: Eukaryota; Viridiplantae; Streptophyta; Magnoliopsida; Solanales; Solanaceae.
GAUUUUGGGGUGCUUUUGAAGCUGCUUUCAAAUGGGUUUAUGAGACCAAACAGUGAGGUUUUAAAGCUGGUCUAUGACUGGAAAACAUGAGCUAUCAUUGCUUUCAAAUGAUAAAGAGCUAAGCAUGAGAAUGGCGGUAGAAACAAAAUGUUCUUUGGGGGAAAACACAGCUCACUCUUUUAUUGUCCAGCUCUUAAUUCUCUCUUUUCCAUUUUUCACUAACUCAAUUUUCGGUUUUCUCUCAUUUUCUCUUUUUUUUCUUCAAAUCUUCCUCUCGUCAAUUCUUUCUUUUUGUUUUUCGC